AUAGCAGUGACACACCACAUAUACGGUGCGCCAUUAAUGUUCAUAUUAGCUAUAGUCAUUUUUCUAGUAAUGCGUUGUUGAUUCAUCUCAAGGUAUGGUGGAUGCAUGCUUAUAGCAGUGGCGCACCACAUAUACGGUGUGCCAUUAAUGUUCAUAUUAGCUAUAGUCAUUUUUCUAGUAAUGCGUUGUUGAUUCAUCUCAAGGUGUGGUGGAUGCAUGCUUUCGACUUUUUAGUUGCUGCUUGGAGGUUUGAUAGAGAACAAAUGAAGCAACAGAUCAUGUCAUGACUAAUAUAUGAUCAUGUGGUGCAUUUGCUGAACGAAUUGUCGGGGUACACAAAAUAGCUGCUUCGCUUUUGAUAUUUUCAGUUUGUUUCAUAAAUGUUCAGUUCAGAUGCUCAUAACUUUUCAGGUUCUGUCAAAGCUGUUUAGUUCAGAUUCUGAUAUUUUGUAUGUACAGUAUGCAAAAUGAGUCCAGCUACACGUACGACGAAUUUCAUAUGAUUUACAUACGACAGUCAGCGGCAGCCGUUCGUUGAACCACACGGACGAGUUGGGGGAGGCAUGGUCAGCAUUGGUGUUUUGGCGCAAUUACUGGAGAUUACUGUGAAGUUCACAAGGUGAUGAGCUUACUCGAGUGCUUUUCAUUCUUGGAGACUUUGCAUUUCGAGGUUAUGAGAGAAGAUGCUGGAGAGAUGCCCUUACCAAAUUGGAAGGCUACAACCAAAUCUAAUCAGCAGCAUAGCAGUGAUCUUCGAAUAUCUCAGCAAGUGAUCAUCUUUUCAGCGAUUUCUUUUCUGUUUGGCCUUCCUGUAGGUUUGCACAUAAGCGGAAGUUGUACUGUAUAUUAGCAGUCGUUGGAGCCGUGAUGAUGUUUUUUUGUUGCCAAGGUUAUUUGAACAUGGCUAUCAUUUGUUAUAGAUGACCAUCUUUUAAUUGCUACUU
Hordeum vulgare subsp. vulgare (domesticated barley) is the source of this 944-nucleotide long non-coding RNA. RefSeq lists it as uncharacterized. The record is from RefSeq and is a predicted model, not a curated record. NCBI's taxonomy places the organism in Eukaryota, Viridiplantae, Streptophyta, Magnoliopsida, Poales, Poaceae. The transcript has 3 exons.